This 164-nucleotide ribosomal RNA is filed under the name Aglaia elliptica. RNAcentral's name for it is "5.8S ribosomal RNA". It matches the Rfam family "5.8S ribosomal RNA". Rfam says of the family: 5.8S ribosomal RNA (5.8S rRNA) is a component of the large subunit of the eukaryotic ribosome. It is transcribed by RNA polymerase I as part of the 45S precursor that also contains 18S and 28S rRNA. Functionally, it is thought that 5.8S rRNA may be involved in ribosome translocation. Lineage: Eukaryota; Viridiplantae; Streptophyta; Magnoliopsida; Sapindales; Meliaceae. The record is from RNAcentral. RNAcentral also lists the same sequence under 9 other names.
AAUACGACUCUCGGCAACGGAUAUCUCGGCUCUCGCAUCGAUGAAGAACGUAGCGAAAUGCGAUACUUGGUGUGAAUUGCAGAAUCCCGUGAACCAUCGAGUCUUUGAACGCAAGUUGCGCCCCAAGCCAUUAGGCUGAGGGCACGUCUGCCUGGGUGUCACGC